GUAGAGUCCGUUCGAACUGAUGUACCUGUAUCGCACGAUUAACCUGCACAGAUGCAUCAGACAAUACUUUUGCGAGGACAGGAUCCCCUCCUGUCGAUCCAGAGAUGCACAGUGUGCUGCCAAAAAUACCACUGUACCUACUGUAAAUCGGUUUACAACCAUUUACAUGAGCUCCGAAAUCAUGUAGCUAAUCACAUGCGAAAUGCAGUUCAAGAAGAAGAUUUUAUCAUCAUCAAGUGUGGUCUAAAGUGCAGGCAAUCACCACAUUUUCACUGCUGUUACUGUACAUCAACAGUAAUUAGACGUGACAGUCUUAUUACACAUUUUAAAAUGUGUAAAAAUUUAG
Labeo rohita (rohu) is the source of this 346-nucleotide long non-coding RNA. RefSeq lists it as uncharacterized. The transcript is spliced from 3 exons. The record is from RefSeq and is a predicted model, not a curated record. NCBI's taxonomy places the organism in Eukaryota, Metazoa, Chordata, Actinopteri, Cypriniformes, Cyprinidae.